UAGUCAUAUGCUUGUCUCAAAGAUUAAGCCAUGCAUGUCUAAGUAUAUACUUUUGUACAGUUGAACUGCGGAUGGCUCAUUAAAUCAGUUAUAGUUUAUCGAUGGUCACUUACUACAUGGAUAACCGUGGUAAUUCUAGAGCUAAUACAUGCGUAAAACUCCAAUUGGAGUGUGCUUGUCUGAAUUGAACCUUUACGGCUUGCCGUUUUAUGGUGAAUCAGGACAAAAGUACGAAUCGGCUUCGGCCGAUGCAUCAUUCGAGUUUCUGCCCCAUCAG
This 277-nucleotide ribosomal RNA is filed under the name uncultured eukaryote. RNAcentral's name for it is "partial 18S ribosomal RNA". It matches the Rfam family "Eukaryotic small subunit ribosomal RNA", at positions 21 to 318 of the family's 1831-position model. The record is from RNAcentral.